This 74-nucleotide transfer RNA is filed under the name Armatimonadota bacterium. Its description in RNAcentral is "Armatimonadetes bacterium tRNA-Trp". It matches the Rfam family "tRNA". From Rfam's summary of the family: Transfer RNA (tRNA) molecules are approximately 80 nucleotides in length. The record is from RNAcentral. Lineage: Bacteria; Bacillati; Armatimonadota.
AGGGCCGUAGUGAAAUGGCAUCACAAAAGUCUCCAAAACUUUUAUUCCGCGUUCAAAUCGCGGCGGCCCUGCAA